This 305-nucleotide ribosomal RNA is filed under the name uncultured bacterium. RNAcentral's name for it is "bacterial SSU rRNA". It matches the Rfam family "Bacterial small subunit ribosomal RNA", at positions 335 to 658 of the family's 1533-position model. The record is from RNAcentral.
AUCCUACGGGACGCAGCAGUGGGAGAUAUUGCACAAUGGGGGCAACCCUGAUGCAGCGACGCCGCGUGAGCGAUGGAGUACUUCGGUAUGUAAAGCUCUGUCAGCAGGGAAGAGAAUGACGGUACCUGACCAAGAAGCCCCGGCUAAAUACGUGCCAGCAGCCGCGGUAAUACGUAUGGAGCAAGCGUUAUCCGGAUUUACUGGGUGUAAAGGGAGCGUAGGCGGUAAGGCAAGUCUGAUGUGAAAGGCCAGGGCUCAACCCUGGGACUGCAUUGGAUACUGUUUAACUGGAGUGUCGGAGAGGG